Molecule: ribosomal RNA, 1452 nt
Filed under: uncultured organism
Description: SSU rRNA
Rfam family: Bacterial small subunit ribosomal RNA
Source: RNAcentral
GAACGCUGGCGGCAGGCUUAACACAUGCAAGUCGAGCGGGCGAGGUUGCUUCGGUAACUGAGCUAGCGGCGGACGGGUGAGUAAUGCUUAGGAAUCUGCCUAUUAGUGGGGGACAACAUUCCGAAAGGAAUGCUAAUACCGCAUACGCCCUACGGGGGAAAGCAGGGGAUCUUCGGACCUUGCGCUAAUAGAUGAGCCUAAGUCAGAUUAGCUAGUUGGUGGGGUAAAGGCCUACCAAGGCGACGAUCUGUAGCGGGUCUGAGAGGAUGAUCCGCCACACUGGGACUGAGACACGGCCCAGACUCCUACGGGAGGCAGCAGUGGGGAAUAUUGGACAAUGGGCGCAAGCCUGAUCCAGCCAUGCCGCGUGUGUGAAGAAGGCCUUUUGGUUGUAAAGCACUUUAAGCGAGGAGGAGGCUACUUGGAUUAAUACUCUAGGAUAGUGGACGUUACUCGCACAAUAAGCACCGGCUAACUCUGUGCCAGCAGCCGCGGUAAUACAGAGGGUGCGAGCGUUAAUCGGAUUUACUGGGCGUAAAGCGUGCGUAAGCGGCUUCUUAAUUCUGAUGUGAAAUCCCUGAGCUUAACUUAGGAAUUGCAUUCGAUACUGGGAAGCUAGAGUAUGGGAGAGGAUGGUAGAAUUCCAGGUGUAGCGGUGAAAUGCGUAGAGAUCUGGAGGAAUACCAAUGGCGAAGGCAGCCAUCUGGCCUAAUACUGACGCUGAGGUACGAAAGCAUGGGGAGCAAACAGGAUUAGAUACCAUGGUAGUCCAUGCCGUAAACGAUGUCUACUAGCCGUUGGGGCCUUUGAGGCUUUAGUGGCGCAGCUAACGCGAUAAGUAGACCGCCUGGGGAGUACGGUCGCAAGACUAAAACUCAAAUGAAUUGACGGGGGCCCGCACAAGCGGUGGAGCAUGUGGUUUAAUUCGAUGCAACGCGAAGAACCUUACGUGGUCUUGACAUAGUAAGAACUUUCCAGAGAUGGAUUGGUGCCUUCGGGAACUUACAUACAGGUGCUGCAUGGCUGUCGUCAGCCUGUGUCGUGAGAUGUUGGGUUAAGUCCCGCAACGAGCGCAACCCUUUUCCUUAUUUGCCAGCGGGUUAAGCCGGGAACUUUAAGGAUACUGCCAGUGACAAACUGGAGGAAGGCGGGGAAGACGUCAAGUCAUCAUGGCCCUUACGACCAGGGCUACACACGUGCUACAAUGGUCGGUACAAAGGGUUGCUACCUAGCGAUAGGAUGCUAAUCUCAAAAAGCCGAUCGUAGUCCGGAUUGGAGUAUGCAACUCGACUCCAUGAAGUCGGAAUCGCUAGUAAUCGCGGAUCAGAAUGCCGCGGUGAAUACGUUCCCGGGCCUUGUACACACCGCCCGUCACACCAUGGGAAUUUGUCGCACCAGAAGUAGGUAGUCUAACCGCAAGGAGGACGCUUACCACGGUGUGGCCGAUGACUG